RNAcentral lists this ribosomal RNA (468 nucleotides) under uncultured bacterium. RNAcentral describes it as "partial 16S ribosomal RNA". It matches the Rfam family "Bacterial small subunit ribosomal RNA", at positions 28 to 507 of the family's 1533-position model. The record is from RNAcentral.
GACGAACGCUGGCGGCGUGCUUAACACAUGCAAGUCGAACGGAAAGGCCUUGCUUUUGUGGGGUGCUCGAGUGGCGAACGGGUGAGUAACACUUGAGUAACCUGCCCUUGACUUUGGGAUAACUUCAGGAAACUGGGUCUAAUACCGGAUAGGAGCUCCUGCUGCAUGGUGGGGGUGGGAAAGUUUCGGCGGUUGGGGAUGGACUCGCGGCUUAUCAGCUUGUUGGUUGGGUAGUGGCUUACCAAGGCUUUGACGGGUAGCAGACCUGCGAGGGUGACCGGCCACACUGGGACUGAGAUGCGGCCCAGACUCCUACGGGAGGCAGCAGUGGAGAAUAUUGCACAAGGGGCGGAAGCCUGAUGCAGCAACGCAGCGCGCGGGAUGACGGCCAGCGGGUUGUAAUCCGCUUUCGCCUGUGACGAAGCGUGAGUGACGGUAAUGGGUAAAGAAGCACCGGCUAACUACGUG